Non-coding RNA from Cordylochernes scorpioides, 79 nucleotides. The record is from the annotation of a GenBank genome assembly. NCBI's taxonomy places the organism in Eukaryota, Metazoa, Arthropoda, Arachnida, Pseudoscorpiones, Chernetidae.
AUUGGUGAGCCGGACGUGAUUCGAACACGCAACCUUCUGAUCUGGAGUCAGAAGCCACACCAACACAGCACAUCAACAA